GGGGUUUCUAAGUUUCCAUUGUGGUGGCGUUCCAACUUUAUUCUUGUUGUAGCUUCCGGCACUUUAGCCAAAGCAUUCACUUUCUUAGCUUGAGCCUACUAGCCUUGGGGUUGGGUUAUACCUUAAGUGUAGUUCUAGUGCUUUCCUUCUAUUUAAGGGUUUCCUCUAUUUCUUUCAUUCCAUUUCCUUUUUCUUUACCUCCCUCUUGAGGUGGUGUACAUAUCUUGUUUGUGCGUGAA
RNAcentral lists this long non-coding RNA (239 nucleotides) under Salvia miltiorrhiza (redroot sage). RNAcentral describes it as "long non-coding RNA (SMIL_LNC008784)". Lineage: Eukaryota; Viridiplantae; Streptophyta; Magnoliopsida; Lamiales; Lamiaceae. The record is from RNAcentral.